UGGGGAAUCUUGGACAAUGGGCGAAAGCCUGAUCCAGCAAUGCCGCGUGUGUGAAGAAGGCCUUCGGGUUGUAAAGCACUUUCAGUGGGGAAGAAAUACUUAAGGGUAAUAUCCUUAAGCGUUGACGUUACCCACAGAAGAAGCACUGGCAAACUCUGUGCCAGCAGCCGCGGUAAUACAGAGAGUGCAAGCGUUAAUCGGAAUCACUGGGCGUAAAGCGCGCGUAGGUGGAUAUUUAAGUCGGAUGUGAAAGCCCUGGGCUUAACCUGGGAACUGCAUUCGAUACUGAAUAUCUAGAGUAUGGUAGAGGGAAGUGGAAUUUCCGGUGUAGCGGUGAAAUGCGUAGAUAUCGGAAAGAACACCAGUGGCGAAGGCGGCUUCCUGGACCAAUACUGACACUCAAGUGCGAAAGCGUGGGGAGCAAACAGGAUUAGAUACCCGCGUAGUCC
RNAcentral lists this ribosomal RNA (449 nucleotides) under uncultured bacterium. Its description in RNAcentral is "bacterial SSU rRNA". It matches the Rfam family "Bacterial small subunit ribosomal RNA", at positions 355 to 796 of the family's 1533-position model. The record is from RNAcentral.